This 1034-nucleotide ribosomal RNA is filed under the name uncultured organism. RNAcentral's name for it is "bacterial SSU rRNA". It matches the Rfam family "Bacterial small subunit ribosomal RNA", at positions 356 to 1376 of the family's 1533-position model. The record is from RNAcentral.
GAGGAAUAUUGGUCAAUGGACGGAAGUCUGAACCAGCCAUGCCGCGUGCAGGAAGACGGCUCUAUGAGUUGUAAACUGCUUUUGUACGAGGGUAAACGCAGAUACGUGUAUCUGCCUGAAAGUAUCGUACGAAUAAGGAUCGGCUAACUCCGUGCCAGCAGCCGCGGUAAUACGGAGGAUCCAAGCGUUAUCCGGAUUUAUUGGGUUUAAAGGGUGCGUAGGCGGUUUAGUAAGUCAGCGGUGAAAUUUUGGUGCUUAACACCAAACGUGCCGUUGAUACUGCUGGGCUAGAGAGUAGUUGCGGUAGGCGGAAUGUAUGGUGUAGCGGUGAAAUGCUUAGAGAUCAUACAGAACACCGAUUGCGAAGGCAGCUUACCAAACUAUAUCUGACGUUGAGGCACGAAAGCGUGGGGAGCAAACAGGAUUAGAUACCCUGGUAGUCCACGCAGUAAACGAUGAUAGCUCGUUGUCGGCGAUACACAGUCGGUGACUAAGAGAAAUCGAUAAGCUAUCCACCUGGGGAGUACGUUCGCAAGAAUGAAACUCAAAGGAAUUGACGGGGGCCCGCACAAGCGGAGGAACAUGUGGUUUAAUUCGAUGAUACGCGAGGAACCUUACCCGGGCUUGAAAGUUACUGACGAUUCUGGAAACAGGAUUUCCCUUCGGGGCAGGAAACUAGGUGCUGCAUGGUUGUCGUCAGCUCGUGCCGUGAGGUGUCGGGUUAAGUCCCAUAACGAGCGCAACCCCUACUGAUAGUUGCCAUCAGAGCGUUUGAGCGAUCAAACAAGCUGGGCACUCUAUCGGGACUGCCGGUGUAAGCCGAGAGGAAGGUGGGGAUGACGUCAAAUCAGCACGGCCCUUACGUCCGGGGCGACACACGUGUUACAAUGGUAGGUACAGAGGGCAGCCACCCAGUGAUGGGGAGCGAAUCUCGAAAGCCUAUCUCAGUUCGGAUUGGAGGCUGAAACUCGCCUCCAUGAAGUUGGAUUCGCUAGUAAUCGCGCAUCAGCCAUGGCGCGGUGAAUACGUUCCCG